RNAcentral lists this ribosomal RNA (880 nucleotides) under uncultured microorganism. RNAcentral's name for it is "SSU rRNA". It matches the Rfam family "Bacterial small subunit ribosomal RNA", at positions 57 to 933 of the family's 1533-position model. The record is from RNAcentral.
GCAAGUCGAACGGUAACAGGGAUUGCUUGCAAUCCGCUGACGAGUGGCGCACGGGUGCGUAACGCGUAUAGAACCUACCUUUUACUGGGGGAUAGCCCGGAGAAAUCCGGAUUAAUACCCCAUAGUAAUGUCUCAGGGCAUCCUGAGAUGUUUAAAGCUUCGGCGGUAAAAGAUGGCUAUGCGUCUUAUUAGCUAGUAGGCGAGGUAACGGCUCACCUAGGCAACGAUAAGUAGGGGCCCUGAGAGGGGGAUCCCCCACACUGGUACUGAGACACGGACCAGACUCCUACGGGAGGCAGCAGUGAGGAAUAUUGGACAAUGGUCGAGAGACUGAUCCAGCCAUGCCGCGUGCAGGAAGACGGCCCUAUGGGUUGUAAACUGCUUUUGUACGGGAAGAAUAAUACCCACGUGUGGGUAGAUGACGGUACCGUACGAAUAAGGACCGGCUAACUCCGUGCCAGCAGCCGCGGUAAUACGGAGGGUCCGAGCGUUAUCCGGAAUCAUUGGGUUUAAAGGGUCCGCAGGCGGGCCAGUAAGUCAGGGGUGAAAGUUUGCGGCUUAACCGUAAAAUUGCCUUUGAUACUGCUGGUCUUGAGUUGCGGUGAAGUGGCCGGAAUAUGUGGUGUAGCGGUGAAAUGCAUAGAUAUCACAUAGAACACCGAUUGCGAAGGCAGGUCACUAACCGCCGACUGACGCUGAUGGACGAAAGCGUGGGGAGCGAACGGGAUUAGAUACCCCGGUAGUCCACGCCGUAAACGAUGGACACUAGCUGUCGGGCCUUAUGGUUCGGCGGCCCAGCGAAAGUGAUAAGUGUCCCACCUGGGGAGUACGUCGGCAACGAUGAAACUCAAAGGAAUUGACGGGGGCCCGCACAAGCGGU